GGACUACCGGGGUUUCUAAUCCUGUUCGCUCCCCACGCUUUCGCUCCUCAGCGUCAGUUACUGCCCAGAGACCCGCCUUCGCCACCGGUGUUCCUCCUGAUAUCUGCGCAUUCCACCGCUACACCAGGAAUUCCAGUCUCCCCUGCAGUACUCUAGUCUGCCCGUAUCGCUCGCACGCCCACAGUUGAGCUGUGGGUUUUCACGAACAACGUGACAAACCACCUACGAGCUCUUUACGCCCAGUAAUUCCGGACAACGCUCGGACCCUACGUAUUACCGCGGCUGCUGGCAC
Molecule: ribosomal RNA, 292 nt
Filed under: uncultured bacterium
Lineage: Bacteria
Description: partial 16S ribosomal RNA
Source: RNAcentral